This 1989-nucleotide ribosomal RNA is filed under the name Triticum aestivum (bread wheat). Its description in RNAcentral is "partial small subunit ribosomal RNA". The record is from RNAcentral. Lineage: Eukaryota; Viridiplantae; Streptophyta; Magnoliopsida; Poales; Poaceae.
AUGAGGCCUUCAGAUGACAGGAUGCAGCUCUCAGGUUUGACGCAGUCGGAAGAGUCAUCGCUUGACGUGGAGGGGCAUUGCUCUCACCACGAGGCAUUUCCUUGUUCUCCAUCGAUGCAACCAGUUGCUUCUGGGUGCGUGCACACAGAAAAUAGCGCGGCAUACUUCUUAUGGCCGACUUCAAACCUGCAGCAUUGUGCGGCGGAGGGACGGGCAAACUACUUUGGGAACCUCCAGAAAGGAUUGCUGCCGAUACUCCCUGGAAAGUUGCCCAAGGGUCAGCAAGCAAAUAGCUUGCUCGACUUGAUGACCAUAAGAGCUUUCCACAGCAAGAUAUUGAAGCGUUUCAGUCUCGGAACCGCAGUGGGCUUCCGCAUAACAAAAGGGGUUCUCACAGAAACCCCCGCCAUUCUUGUCUUCGUUGCUCGAAAGGUUCACAAGAAAUGGCUUAAUCCGAACCAAUGCCUUCCUGCGAUUCUUGCGGGUCCAGGAGGUGUUUGGUGUGAUGUCGAUGUCGUAGAAUUUUCAUACUAUGGUGCACCGGCUCAAACACCUAAAGAACAGAUGUUUAGUGAGCUUGUUAAUAAGCUGUGUGGCAGUGACGAAUAUAUUGGUUCAGGCUCUCAGGUUGCAAGCCAGGAUACGUUUGGAACUUUGGGUGCAAUUGUGAAACGACGCACCAACAACAAGCAAGUUGGUUUCCUCACGAACCGACAUGUUGCAGUUGAUUUGGACUAUCCUAACCAGAAGAUGUUUCACCCGUUGCCGCCGAAUCUUGGGCCUGGUGUUUAUCUUGGGGCUGUCGAGAGGGCAACAUCUUUCAUCACAGAUGAUGUUUGGUAUGGAAUUUAUGCUGGAACAAACCCAGAGACAUUUGUACGAGCUGACGGUGCAUUCAUCCCAUUUGCUGAUGACUUUGACAUUUCCACAGUCACAACUAUAGUUAGGGAAGUCGGUGAGAUUGGGGAUGUUAAGAUUAUAGAUCUGCAGUGUCCUAUCAAGAGCCUCAUCGGGAGGCAAGUUUGCAAAGUCGGCAGAAGCUCUGGUCACACAACUGGGACUGUGAUGGCAUAUGCCCUUGAGUACAAUGAUGAGAAAGGAAUAUGCUUCUUCACUGACCUCCUCGUCGUUGGUGAGAACCGCCAAACAUUUGAUUUGGAGGGUGACAGCGGAAGCCUUAUUAUCCUGACCAGCCAGGAUGGGGAGAAGCCACGUCCUAUUGGGAUAAUAUGGGGUGGCACAGCAAACCGUGGGAGGAUAAAGCUCACAAGUGAGUAUGGCCCUGAAAACUGGACCACAGGGGUUGAUCUUGGCCGCCUUCUUGAUCGUCUAGAACUUGAUCUUAUAAUAAACGACGAAUCGCUCAAAGAUGCUGUGCAGGAGCAAAGAAAAGCCUUUGUGGCUGCAAUUAACUCUGCUAUUGGGGAGUCCUCUGCGGUGACUGUUACUGCCCCAGAAGCCACCCCGGCAGAGAAGGUUGAAGAGAUCUUUGAGCCUCUUGGGAUCCAAAUUCAGCAGCUGCCUCGUCAUGACCUGGCAAGCGCCACAACCGAAGGGGAGGGCGCAGCCAACACACCCUCCGACAUGGAAGAGCGUCAGUUCAUCUCGAACUUCGUUGGCAUGUCUCCCGUGCGCCGUGACCACGAUGCUCGGAGGAGCAUCGCCAACCUGAACAACCCGUCAGAGGAAGAGCUCGCCAUGUCGCUGCACCUAGGCGACCGGGAGCCCAAGCGGCUCCGUCUGGACCCGGAGUCCAGCCUGGACCUUGAAAAACAGCCUCAUCCGGACCCGGAACCGAGCCUGGACCUGGAGGAGCGACCUCGUCCAGACCCAGAAAUGAUGAGCCUAGACCUGGAGAAGCAGCCUCGUCCGGACCCGGAACCGGGCCUGGACCUGGAGAAGCAGCCUCGCUCGGACCCGGAACCGGGCCUGGACCUGGAGAAGCGCCUUCCAGCCGACCCGGAGCCGAGCAUAGACCUGGAGAAAUGA